This 347-nucleotide ribosomal RNA is filed under the name uncultured bacterium. Its description in RNAcentral is "partial 16S ribosomal RNA". It matches the Rfam family "Bacterial small subunit ribosomal RNA", at positions 338 to 696 of the family's 1533-position model. The record is from RNAcentral.
CCUACGGGUGGCAGCAGUCGAGAAUCAUUCACAAUGGGGGAAACCCUGAUGGGGCGACGCCGCGUGGGGGAAUGAAGGUCUUCGGAUUGUAAACCCCUGUCAUGUGGGAGCAAAUUAAAAAGAUAGUACCACAAGAGGAAGAGACGGCUAACUCUGUGCCAGCAGCCGCGGUAAUACAGCGGUCUCAAGCGUGGUUCGGAAUCACUGGGCGUAAAGCGUGCGUAGGCUGUUUCGUAAGUCGUGUGUGAAAGCCGCGGGCUCAAGCCGCGGACGGCACCUGAUACUGCGAGACUAGAGUAAUGGAGAGGGAACCGGAAUUCUCGGUGUAGCAGUGAAAGGCGUAGAUA